RNAcentral lists this ribosomal RNA (466 nucleotides) under uncultured bacterium. Its description in RNAcentral is "partial 16S ribosomal RNA". It matches the Rfam family "Bacterial small subunit ribosomal RNA", at positions 28 to 507 of the family's 1533-position model. The record is from RNAcentral.
GGCGAACGCUGGCGGCGUGCUUAACACAUGCAAGUCGAACGGAAAGGCCCUGCUUGCAGGGUACUCGAGUGGCGAACGGGUGAGUAACACGUGGGUGAUCUGCCCUGCACUUCGGGAUAAGCUUGGGAAACUGGGUCUAAUACCGGAUAGGAGCCAUCUUUAGUGUGGUGGUUGGAAAGUUUUUUCGGUGUAGGAUGAGCUCGCGGCCUAUCAGCUUGUUGGUGGGGUAAUGGCCUACCAAGGCGGCGACGGGUAGCCGGCCUGAGAGGGUGUACGGCCACAUUGGGACUGAGAUACGGCCCAGACUCCUACGGGGGGCAGCAGUGGGGAAUAUUGCACAAUGGGCGCAAGCCUGAUGCAGCGACGCCGCGUGGGGGAUGAAGGCCUUCGGGUUGUAAACUCCUUUCGCUAGGGACGAAGCUUUUUUGUGACGGUACCUAGAUAAGAAGCACCGGCUAACUACGUG